AGGACGAACGCUGGCGGCGUGCUUAACACAUGCAAGUCGAGCGGUAAGGCUCCUUCGGGAGUACACGAGCGGCGAACGGGUGAGUAACACGUGAGCAAUCUGCCCUUCACUUUGGGAUAACUUCCGGAAACGGAAGCUAAUACCGAAUACGACCACUUCACGCAUGUGAUGGUGGUGGAAAGUUCCGGCGGUGAAGGAUGAGCUCGCGGCCUAUCAGUCUUGUUGGUGAAGGUAAUGGACUCACCAAGGCUUCGACGGGU
This 260-nucleotide ribosomal RNA is filed under the name uncultured soil bacterium. Its description in RNAcentral is "partial 16S ribosomal RNA". It matches the Rfam family "Bacterial small subunit ribosomal RNA", at positions 26 to 284 of the family's 1533-position model. The record is from RNAcentral.